This 497-nucleotide ribosomal RNA is filed under the name uncultured bacterium. RNAcentral describes it as "partial 16S ribosomal RNA". It matches the Rfam family "Bacterial small subunit ribosomal RNA", at positions 28 to 507 of the family's 1533-position model. The record is from RNAcentral.
GAUGAACGCUGGCGGCGUGCCUAAUACAUGCAAGUCGAGCGAACAGACGAGGAGCUUGCUCCUCUGACGUUAGCGGCGGACGGGUGAGUAACACGUGGAUAACCUACCUAUAAGACUGGGAUAACUUCGGGAAACCGGAGCUAAUACCGGAUAAUAUAUUGAACCGCAUGGUUCAAUAGUGAAAGACGGUUUUGCUGUCACUCAUAGAUGGAUCCGCGCCGCAUUAGCUAGUUGGUAAGGUAACGGCUUACCAAGGCAACGAUGCGUAGCCGACCUGAGAGGGUGAUCGGCCACACUGUAACUGAGACACGGUCCAGACUCCUACGGGAGGCAGCAGUAGGGAAUCUUCCGCAAUGGGCGAAAGCCUGACGGAGCAACGCCGCGUGAGUGAUGAAGUUCUUCGGAUCGUAAAACUCUGUUAUUAGGGAAGAACAAAUGUGUAAGUAACUAUGCACGUCUUGACGGUACCUUAUCAGAAAGCCACGGCUAACUACGUG